UCUAGCAGAUUGCUAUUUUCCACCUGUAGUCCCUGGGCAGGUUGAUGGAAUAGUACAUAAAAACAUAAUAAUAACAAGUAAAAUUACAGAACAAAGAACAUGGAAGCAGAUUCAACAUGACAAGAUUUAAAGCUAGGCUGCUCCCCAACACACACACACACACACACACACACACACACACACACACACACACACACACACACACACACACACACACACACACACACACACACACACACACACACACACACAAUUCAUAAAUGUGUACACUCCUGUCCUGACAGUAGCCAACACUUGGCAAGAUGUGAGAAGGUAUGGGGACUUCUACAUGAAAUAAUGUCUGUUGGCAGAGUAUUCCAUGGAGUCAGGGCAAUACAGACAAAUGAUGACUUCCCAAAUACAGUUUUGCGUUGGGGUACACUACACUCACCCCUUGUUACAGAUCUUGUUGUUCGUGUUGACUUCUCAGAGCAGAGAGUAACAUAUUUUUUCAAGGGGGGAGCUACAGCAUUAUGAAUAAUUUAAAAAAGUAAGCAGACAUUUGAGUGCUUGAUCAGAUUCUCAAAGUUUAAAAUUUCAUAUUUGGAUUCAAGUGGUUUUAGAACUGUUUUAUUUGACUGAGACCAGCUUGUAAUACAAUAUAAAAGAUGUGGUAUAAUCAUAGCAUUCAGAUACAUACUAGAAGCCUCAACUGUGAGUGAAUUCCUUAUGUAUCUGAAGUUAGCUAGGUUAAAUUUCAGUGUGUUUCUCAGUUUUUUAACAUGUUUUUUAAAGCUAAGAGUUGAGUCAAGGGUAACACCCAAGUACUUGAAUACAGUAUAUCCACAUUGUCAAUUGUUGAGACAUUUACUGAGACAUUGGGGCAAUCCUUCAGUAUGCACCUGUUGGUGAAAAACAUGGUUACAGUUUUUUCUAGGUUUAAGGUGAGGCAUGAGUUUUGUAACCAGAGAGCAACCUUUUGCAUUUCUUGGCAACCUCUGUAGCGCUCUUACCAUGAGUAUAUAUGACAGUGUCGUCGGCAUACAUUAUUAUGCCGACAUCAUCACACAUGGAAGGC
Long non-coding RNA from Clupea harengus (Atlantic herring), 1057 nucleotides. NCBI's taxonomy places the organism in Eukaryota, Metazoa, Chordata, Actinopteri, Clupeiformes, Clupeidae. The record is from Ensembl.